Molecule: ribosomal RNA, 451 nt
Filed under: uncultured Glomus
Lineage: Eukaryota; Fungi; Glomeromycota; Glomeromycetes; Glomerales; Glomeraceae
Description: SSU rRNA
Rfam family: Eukaryotic small subunit ribosomal RNA
Source: RNAcentral
AGCAGCCGCGGUAAUUCCAGCUCCAAUAGCGUAUAUUAAAGUUGUUGCAGUUAAAAAGCUCGUAGUUGAAUUUCGAGAUCAAAUUGUUGGUCGUGCCUCGGUACGUAAUGGCAUUAUUGAUUUCUCCCUUCUGAAGAACCUUGAUGUCAUUAAUUUGGUGUCUUGGGGAAUCAGGACCGUUACUUUGAAAAAUUAGAGUGUUUAAAGCAGGCUCACGCUUGAAUACAUUAGCAUGGAAUAAUGAAAUAGGACGUUUGAUUCUAUUUUGUUGGUUUCUAGGAUCGACGUAAUGAUUAAUAGGGAUAGUUGGGGGCAUUAGUAUUCAAUUGUCAGAGGUGAAAUUCUUGGAUUUAUUGAAGACUAAACUACUGCGAAAGCAUUUGCCAAGGAUGUUUUCAUUAAUCAAGAACGAAAGUUAGGGGAUCGAAGACGAUACAGAUACCGUCGUAGU